Molecule: ribosomal RNA, 255 nt
Filed under: uncultured bacterium
Lineage: Bacteria
Description: partial 16S ribosomal RNA
Rfam family: Archaeal small subunit ribosomal RNA
Source: RNAcentral
UACCAGCACCCCGAGUGGUCGGGACGUUUUAUUGGGCCUAAAGCAUCCGUAGCCGGUUCUACAAGUCUUCCGUUAAAUCCAGCUGCUUAACAGAUGGGCUGCGGAAGAUACUAUGGAGCUAGGAGGCGGGAGAGGCAAGCGGUGACUCGAUGGGUAGGGGUAAAAUCCGUUGAUCCAUUGAAGACCACCAGUGGCGAAGGCGGCUUGCCAGAACGCGCUCGACGGUGAGGGAUGAAAGCUGGGGGAGCAAACCGG